Molecule: long non-coding RNA, 37269 nt
Filed under: Sorghum bicolor (sorghum)
Lineage: Eukaryota; Viridiplantae; Streptophyta; Magnoliopsida; Poales; Poaceae
Description: long non-coding RNA (SBIC_LNC006353)
Source: RNAcentral
GGGGCUAGGAAGGUCUGACUACGGUCCUACAAACACCAAUCCGAACGUGGUGGAAUACGUCGACCGUUAGAGCUGUCACUACCCUAAGGCUACCACAACAAUCCGCAGGAUUGGGUGCAAUUCCAGGUAAUCGCAAGACUAAACACCACGUCUAAUCUAUUAAUUACUACUCUAGCGUUAUAAAGACUAGAGCACUUGAUGCAAGCGGGAAUCCAAUAAAUAAUUUGAAUGUAAAUAAAAGUAAUUAGAGAACUCAGGAAUUAUGAGUUGAAGAACCUGGAGAACGAUGAAGAACGAACCAGUUGCUGCAAAAGUACAAUGUUGAGGAAGAUCCGACAGAUCCGGCUCCUCCUCCGCUCUCCUCUUCUCUCUCCCUAUUUUCUAGAUUACAACUAGAACUAACUAGAACUAGAACUAGAGGAACUAGAACAAGAACUAGAUGAACUAGAACUAGAUCUAGAUGAACUAGAAGUAGAACUAGAAGAACUAGAGGGAUCCUCUCUACUUGGAUGAAGAAUUGAAACCCUAACUUUGAUUCUGUAGAAGAGGUAUGAUCUCCAGGGGCCAGGGGGGUCUGGUUUUAUAGUCCCUUCAAGUGAAUCUGGGCCGUUGGAUCAAACCGACAUUGAUCGUGUGGUUUUCCUUGAUCCUUUAGGUCGGUGGAGCAAUAUCCCGAAAGAGAGUCCUGAUUGGUCUCUGGCUGAGGGCGGGCGCCCAGUCCCUGUGUCCUCUCGGCCUCCGCUUCGGUCCCGUGGCUUCUGGAGUCUUCUAGAUGAUAGAAAAUUACGCAGCACGUCAAUAUCUCUAUGUAAACCCGACGUGUGGGCCUUUCUUCCAUAUUUCCUGAUAACCCCCUGCAGAAAUAGACAAACACCAAAACUCGUGGAAUUCUGUCAGAUAAAACCCUAAGUCUAGGUGUUGGUUGCAUUUGGAUCCUUUUCCAUGAUUAGUUGAUGGUUAAAUUUGAGCAUUAAGGACCGUCAACAAGCUCCCCCAAGCUUAACCUUUGCUCGUCCCUGAGCAAAGAUGAACUCAAGAGUUUCUGCAGUGGUUUCAUACCUUAAAGAUAUACAUGCAUUCAAACAAGAUCUCAUCUCUGGGUUAGGGUAACUGUUAAGAUUUAAACUUACUCAUAUUACCUUCCACCAUGGGGCUUGCAACCGUCACUUGAGUCUUGAGUAGUUAAAAGAUAGAACGGUCUAGUCAAGCGCCAUGUCUCUUGUUCUUCGAUUAACUAUAGCUCUGGAGUUUUUGCAGAUUUUCAAAUAAAACUCAGAGAUUCCUUGUAUGACUCUCUCUAGUCUCUCUUUUGUGGUAUUUCUGGAUCCUUACCAAGGCAGUAAUGGUAUAUGCCUUCUCUCAAAGUAUGUGGUAUUUGUGGUAUAAGGCAUAGUGACAUUGCCUUCUCUCUCACCCUACUCUAAUAAGGCUUUUGAUAUCUGGAGCUCAUAGGUGGGAGACAGCUAAUACAUACUUACAAGACAUUUAUUGCAUAGUCAAACCAUGGAUCCAGAAGAACAAGUCAAUAAGUCAAAUCAAGAUGUGCAUGUGUGGCGAAUGAAUGGUGCAUGGUAAUGAUGGUGAUAACAAUGGUGAAAGUCUAAUUCUACUUGUGCUCUUUUGAGGGGAUACAUACCUUUCUUGCUCUUUUGAAACUUUUUGAGGAGAAUGAGAUGCUCUAUAUUUUAUUUUUCUUUUCUCUCAGGUGGGUAUCUUGUACCCCUAAUUGUACUAUCGGACACUUGUCCAUUUUUACCUCUCGUCUCACUUUUUCUUUUCUUCGAGGUUCCGGGCACUUGCCCCUUUUUAUUUCCUCGUAUAUAUUUUUUUUUGCUUUUUUUUCUUCUUUUUUUUAGAGCACUCAUCUCAUGAGAUAAUAUAGCAAGUGGUAGUAACAAGAUAACUUGAGCAUUUAUUUCACAGGGGAAAAACAGAAAUCUUUUUGGCUAUUCUCUCCCGGAUUAGGAGUAGAAUAUUUUUGGGUGGUUCUGGAGAUGGAAAUGGAUGGAUAUAUGUGAGUGCGUACUUCCGAAGUAGAAGUAGCAUGUAUGAGUGAACGUGAAAGUGAAUCUUGAUUUAACCACAUGACAAGCUCCUAAGGGUCUACAAAGCUUGACCACACUCAAUGCUCAUAAGCAGUAAAAAGUAAAUGUGUGGCUCAAAGUCUAGCAAGCAUGUAUAUAUGGCUGUGGUAGGAAUUUAAACUCUCAUCAUACAGGAACUCAUCAUGCAACAAUUUAAAGAUUUUCAAAGAUAAAAUUCUCCAGAAUUCUAGCAUCUCUAGGAACAGAUAAACAGCAGCUCAACCUUCCCAUAUCGUAUCCGUUAACGACUUAGACUUUAGAUCAAGUACUCUCCCCACAAGUUCAGGUUUAGAGCAAAUCUUAAUUAAUAACAGUCAUGCCUAAACUUGAGAGAGAUUUCAAUUUUUAGAACUAGUCAUGGCAGAGCAACUAUACAUCAUUUCCAUGUGAGAGCUUAUCAUGAGGGUUCAUAGCAAACUUUAUUUAUUUAUUUAUUUAGCAAACUAAGCAAAGAUAUAUGUAUAUAAGCACAAAAUCUUUAUUUGGGUUUAUAUGAUUAUGCAUCUUUUUAUUAUUAGAGUAAAGUAUAAACGUGAGUAGAAUACUUAGCUGGAUAAAUGGGGGUGCUCUCCCCCAAGCUGGAUUUUGACAUAAUUCCAUUUGAUGUAGCUAGCAAGUGGUGGAGGUGUAUUUGAAUGUCGGCAGCACCCUGACAGCGAUUAGGAUGUCCUCCCUCUGCUAGUCUUCUUUGAUCCUUGAAUUCUGUGGAGCUCAAAUAGACAACAAAGCUUUGUGGAACUGGUUAAGUGUUAGCAUAAAUACCUAGCCUUUAUCAUGUUGAGCCUCCUCAAUAAAUAUUACUUUCUUUGGUAGGAUCAUAAAUUUAUUUUUAUAUUUUUAUUUUUAUAGGACAGGAAUAUAUUUAUUUUAUUUUUACGCCACCACAGUGAAUAUACUUAUGGGUUUUAUGCCAUGAGCAUACUCACAUGGGGCUUACUAUUUUUAACAUUUUUAUUUUCUUUUCAAGAUGAUGUGAACCUGAUUAACUAAGCAAAACUAUUUUAAAUAAUUGAAAGGAAAAAGAUAACUACCAAGUUUACCUUUUGGCAAGGCGUUCGGUGUUUUUAAGUCCUCCGAACGGGACUCUUCGUUUUCUCAGUCCUCCUGGGAUUCGCUGGAUGGUGUAGUCGGUGGUUCCGGCGGUGCCUCCUUUUCAUGUAUAACUAUCUUAUCUCUCCACACCUGACUCGGUGCUACGGUCUCCUCAGGACAGUUCUAUUCAAGUUGUAUGUCUUCAGACUUUACCACUUCUCCUUCAUAGUCUGCCCAUCCGUCCUUGAUGAUUUUGCCUUCUCUGGUUGCAGUUGCAUCGUCUUCUUCUUGUCCUGACCUGCUUAGAGUCUUCAACUAUAUAGUUAGGGUCAGUAAAAUAGCGGCGUACCUUCUCAGAGGGGAAGUGCAUGUGGACUGCUCCGGUUCCAAUGUAAAUGAUUGCUUUAACGGUGCUGAGGAACGGUCUCCCAAGGAUGAUGGGUGGAUCGUACUUGUCUUCGACCUUUCGGAAUGUCUGAUCUGCCAUCUGGAGCUGAAUGUAUGUUGGUUUCAGGGGCAUGGUUCCGAAUAGGAGCUGAUAGGUGACUGGGUCGUCCUUUUUGGUCAGGAAUGGUGACUUAAAUCGACGAUCUUGACCUCCUUGAACUGCAGUGACCAUCUUAGCUGACUCAGUCCACAUUUGCUUGUUUCUAUUCCUCCUGUUGGUCCCCUUCCUUGGUUCGUGUCGGGAUUGCUCUAAGACUUGUGUAGUCUUGUUCUUAAAGGAAAACAUCUCCUUCCUUCCCUUGAUGUAGAAAUUGAUCUUGGCAGCACUAGCGUAGAUGACAGCUCCUGAGGUGUUCAGGAAUGGCCUCCCUAGGAUGGGUGCCCUCUCAUCAAUACCAGUCUCUAUCACCAUAAAGUCUGCUAGGGCGUACAAGGUACCAACUCGGACAUAGAGGUUCUUCAAUAUUCCCCUGGGCAUAAUGUUGACACUGGAGCCAAAGUCGCAGAGUGCUUCUAGGAAGUCCACCAUGCCGAUGAAGAUCGAGAUGACGGGGCAUCCUGGAUUGUCUCUCUUGACCGGCAGAAGGUCAGUAAUUACUUCCACAAUGGGGUUACUCUAGUAGUUACAUCCUCAAGCAUCUCAGGGUAGUGAUUGCCUGAGUGUCCAGUAUCUCCAGUGUGUUUGUGCUCGUAAAUCUAGGUUCUUCACUUGGUGGAGUCUGGGAGUUGUAAAAGUCCUUCAUAUUUUGCUCGAAGUGUACCUGCUCAUAGAGACAAGGCAGAGAUCAAGUGCAUGGGCCCUGUUGGUGGAAAACACCAACAGAACCAAAAGUUAAUUUGUUCUUCUCUAACCUUAAGCAUAGUGAGCAAGACAAAGUUGAUGGAUAAUAAGAUCAUGAGUGUAGCAUUUAAAACAUUCGUCAGAUCAGAUCACUCAACCUAAUGGAAAGAUAAUCUAUCUAUACUUAUCUCUUUUUUUUUAUAUAUAUCUUCCAAAGAUUGUGUGUGCAACAUUUAGUGUGGGAUCACAAAGGUGAAAGGACUAAACAUAUUGAAUCGAUUGGCUUGGUUAAUCUAGAAUUGUAAAUCAUACAUGUUUGUCUCUUUUAUUCAUGUGAAUGCUAGAACCAAGGAGAAGCUUAUAGAAGUGAUAGUCAAGUACCUUAAGAUGUUACCUUACUUGAAGAGUGAUGGUACAGUAUCACCUUGUGGAAGCUUUCCUCUCUUAGCGGUUGUGCAUCAUGUUUUUGGCACCCUCCAUGGAUCAUCUCUUGUGAGCUAUGCCUUCCUUGUGUAAAUUGUUAAACUUCAUGUGUGUCUCUCUUUGUCUCCAUUGUGAGUUUAUCUCAGGACUUCCCAGGUCGAUAUUGAAAGUUUUCCUGCAGGGGUUAGUCCAACAAAAUAUCCAAUAUCUACUAUAGCAUACUAUCGGCUCAAAGAUCAACCUAGACACCAUGUCUAAUUUGAUUUAGGAGGGCAUUUUAACCUAAGCAUCAUGCUUAAUUUAAAAUCCCUUGGAAAUAAGAUCAUCAUUCCUAACUAAGCACCAUGCUUAAUUAAGAGAUAAAAGAAACUACUCCAAACCUAGACAUAUACUAAAGCAAAUAAAGGUAGCAUGAGAGCAUUUAUAGAGAUCUACUCAAGUGGAGAUGAAGUAGUGUGAUUAGUAUUUAACAAAUUGAGCAUGUCUCAAAGGUAGGGACAACCAACAUAGCAACAUGGCAAAGGAUGUUUUUAUGUAAAGUACUCCCCAAGCUUGAAUUUUGCAAAAUUCAAGUUUGGAUGAGUUUAAUUCAAUGUUGUAUGAUGAUUGGUUGUACAUACCUUGUGCUUGUCAUUCAUCCGAUCUUCUUGCUCCAAUCCUAGAAAGGUUAGUGACAAGAAUACCCGAAGGAAUUUUUUUUACAGUUAUCCUUAUAUGCUCAAUACACAAGGUAGUGUUGCAAAUAAUAAAAAGCUCAUGUUACGAUCUGAUCAGUGCUUGUUUUAGGACACUAAGCUUGUCCUUGGGAAACCAUCGAUUUAUGUCAGUGAAGUGGUUUCCCCUCCAACGCUGACCUAUAUCAAGAUCAACUCAACGAGAUCUGCAAAAUUUAUUAUAGACAUAUGCAUCGACAACUGCCCUUUAAAAGUUUUUAUAAAUAGAAAGGAAGUGGGGGUUGGAGAUCUCAAAUGUGGUGAUGUUGGAGAGACCAAUGGAUUGUGAAGAUGUUGCAUAUGAGCAUGGAGUAAAUGAAGUGGCUAUGAAAUAAAUUCCAUGCUCAUUAAUGCUUAGAGUGAAAUCCAUGUGGUAUAGUGAAAAUGAUAAGGUGAGUGUGGUAAAAAAGGAAAAGAAAAAGGAUACACGGAUGACUUUGUUCGAAACUAGCACAGCUACCGUUCCCCGGCAACGGCGCCAGAAAGCUUGUUGGGUAUUUUAAACGCAAACAGAAAAAUCCGCAAGCGCACGGAUACCGAUGUAGCCUUCACCCGGGAGUAUUCCAGAGUAUCGAUUUUCCACAGGGAACGUGAGUGUACUAAUUAAGAUCCAAGAUCGCCCAAGGAUAACUAUAUGAUUAUUUUUGGUGGGAAGAGAGGAAGUUUCCUGAGAGUUCUCUAGUUGAUCUAAGAAUCAAGAAUUACUUCAAGAUUAUCUAUAUCGGGACAUCAGAGCACUAACCACAGAAAGAGAUGAGAAGGGGGCUAGGAAGGUCUGACUACGGUCCUACAAACACCAAUCCGAACGUGGUGGAAUACGUCGACCGUUAGAGCUGUCACUACCCUAAGGCUACCACAACAAUCCGCAGGAUUGGGUGCAAUUCCAGGUAAUCGCAAGACUAAACACCACGUCUAAUCUAUUAAUUACUACUCUAGUGUUAUAAAGACUAGAGCACUUGAUGCAAGCGGGAAUCCAAUAAAUAACUUGAAUGUAAAUAAAAGUAAUUAGAGAACUCAGGAAUUAUGAGUUGAAGAACCUGGAGAACGAUGAAGAACGAACCAGUUGCUGCAAAAGUACAAUGUUGAGGAAGAUCCGACAGAUCCGGCUCCUCCUCCGCUCUCCUCUUCUCUCUCCCUAUUUUCUAGAUUACAACUAGAACUAACUAGAACUAGAACUAGAGGAACUAGAACUAGAACUAGAUGAACUAGAACUAGAUCUAGAUGAACUAGAAGUAGAACUAGAAGAACUAGAGGGAUCCUCCCUACUUGGAUGAAGAAUUGAAACCCUAACUUUGAUUCUGUAGAAGAGGUAUGAUCUCCAGGGGCCAGGCGGGUCUGGUUUUAUAGUCCCUUCAAGUGAAUCUGGGCCGUUGGAUCAAACCGACAUUGAUCGUGUGGUUUUCCUUGAUCCUUUAGGUCGGUGGAGCAAUAUCCCGAAAGAGAGUCCUGAUUGGACUCUGGCUGAGGGCGGGCGCCCAGGAAAGGUGGCCGGGCGCCCUGUCCCUGUGUCCUCUCGGCCUCUGCUUCGGUCCCGUGGCUUCUGGAGUCUUCUAGAUGAUAGAAAAUUGCGCAGCACGUCAAUAUCUCUAUGUAAACCCGACGUGUGGGCCUUUCUUCCAUAUUUCCUGAUAACCCCCUGCAGAAAUGGACAAACACCAAAACUCGUGGAAUUCUGUUAGAUAAAACCCUAAGUCUAGGUGUUGGUUGCAUUUGGAUCCUUUUCCAUGAUUAGUUGAUGGUUAAAUGUGAGCAUUAAGGACCGUCAACAGAGAUAAACUCACAUUGGAGACAAAGAGAGAGACACAUGAAGGUUAACAAUCUACACAAGGAAGGCAUAGCUCACAAGAGAUGAUCCAUGGAGGGUGCCACAAACACGAUGCACAACCACUAAGAAAGGAAAGCUUCCACAAGGUAAUAUUGUACCAUCACUCUUCAAGUAAGGUAACAUCUUAAGGUACUUGACUAUCACUUCUAUAAGCUUUUCCUUCGUUCUGGCAUUCACAUGAAUAAAAGAGACAAACAUGUAUGAUUUACAAUUCUAGAUUAACCAACCCAAUCGAUUCAAUAUGUUUAGUCCUUUCACCUUUGUGAUCCCACACUAAAUGUUGCACACAUAAUCUUUGGAAGAUAUCUAUAAAAAAAGAGAUAAGUAUAGAUAGAUUAUCUUUCCAUUAGGUUGAGUGAUCUGAUCUAACAAAUGUUUUAAAUGUUACACUCAUGAUCUUAUUAUCCAUUAACUUUGUCUUGCUCACUAUGCUUAAGGUUAGAGAAGAACAAAUACACUUUUGCUUCUGUUGGUGUUUUCCACCAACAGGGCCCAUGCACUUGAUCUCUGCCUUGUCUCUAUGAGCAGGUACACUUCGAGCAAAAUAUGAAGGAGUUUCACAACUCCCAGACUCCACCAAGUGAAGAACUUAGAUCUACGAGCACAAACACACUGGAGAGACUGGACACUCAGGCAAUCACUGCCCUGAGAUGCUUAAGGACAUAACUACUGGAGUAACCCGUGGAAGUAAUUACUGACCUUCUACCGGUCAAGAGAGGUGAUCCAGGACGCACCGUCAUCCCGAUCUCCAUUGGCAUGGUGAACUUCCCAGAAGUACUCUGUGACUUUGGCUCCAGUGCCAACAUUAUGCCUAGGACUUCAUGGUGAUAGAGACUGAUACUGAUGAGAGGGCACCCAUCAUCCUAGGGAGGCCAUUUCUGAACACCUCGGGAGCUGUCAUCCACGCUAGUGCUGCCAAGAUCAGUGUCUACAUCAAGGGAAGGAAGGAGACGUUUACCUUCAAGAAUAAGACUGCACAAAUCCUAGAGCAAUCCCGACUUGAACCAAGGAAGAGGACCAACAGGAGGAACAGGACCAAGCAAAUGUGGACCGAGUCAGCUAAGAUGGUCACUACAGUUCAAGGAGGUCAAGAUCGUCGAUUCAAGUCACCUUUCUCGAUCAAGAAGGACGACCUUGGUGUUCCAAUCAUCAAGUGCACAAUCAACGGAUAUUCUUUUCAGAAGACACUCUACGACACCAGAUCUGACGUUAACAUAAUGGCCGCAGUCACUUAUCAGCUCCUAUGUGGAACCAUGCUCCUACAACCAACACACAUUCAGCUCCAAAUGAUUUUAAGGUUAUUGACAUGGGAGAAGACGAGUAAGAUCCAACCAUCAUCGUUAGGAGACCGUUUCUCAGCACUGUUAAAGCAAUCAUCUACAUUGGAACCGGAGAAGUCCACAUGCACUUCCUCUCUGAGAAGGUACGUCGUUGUUUUACUGACCCUAACUAUAUAGUUGAAGACUCUAACCAGGUCAGGACAAGAAAAAGACGACGCAACCGUAACCAGAGGAGGAAAAUCAUAAAGGGCGGAUGGGCAGACUACGAAGGAGAAGUGGUAAUGUCUGAAGACAUACAACUUGAACAGAACUGUCCUAAGGAGACCGUAGCAUCGAGUUAGGUGUGUAGAGAGGAGAAUGUUAUACACGAAGAGGAGGCGCCGCCGGAACCACCGACUACGCCAUCCAGCGAAUCCCAGGACGAUUGAGAAAACGGAGAGUCCCGUUCGGAGGACUUAAAAACAUCGAACGCCGUGCCAAGAGGUAAACUUGGUAAUUAUCCUUUUUCUUUCAAUUAUUUAAAAUAGUUUGCUUAGUAAUCAGGUUCAUGCUAUCUUAAAAAGAAAAUAAAAAUGUUAAAAAUAGUAAGCCCCAUGUGAGUAUGCUCAUGGCAUAAAACCAUAAGUACAUUCACUGUGGUGGCAUAAAUAUAAAAUAAAUAUAUUCCUGUCCUAUAAAAAUAAAAAUACAAAAAUAAAUUUAUGAUCCUACUAAAGAGAGUAACAUUUAUUAAGGAGGCUCAACAUGAUAAAGGCUAGAUAUUUAUGCUAACACUUAACCAGUUCCACAAAGCUUUGUUGUCUAUUUGAGCUCCACAGAAUUCAAGGAUCAAAGAAGACUAGCAGACGGAGGACAUCCUAAUCGCUAUCAGAGUGCUACCGACAUUCAAAUACACCUCCGCCGCCUGCUAGCUACAUCAGAAGAAAUUACGUCAAAAUCCAGCUUGGGGGAGAGCACCCCCAUUUAUCCAGCUAAGUGUUCUACUCAUGUUUAUAUUUUACUCAAAUAAUAAAAAGAUGCAUGAUCAUAAAAACCCAAAUAAAGAUUUUAUGCUUAUAUAUAUAUCUUUGCUUAGCUUGCUAAAUAAAUAAAUAAAUAAAGUUUGCUAUGAACGCUCAUGAUAAGCUCUCACAUGGAAAUGAUGAAUAGUUGCUCUACCAUGACUAGUUCUCAAAAUUGAAAUCUCUCUCAAGUUUAGGCAUCACUGUUAUGAAUUAAGAUUUGCUCUAAACCUGAACUUGUGGGGAGAGUACUUGAUCUAAAGUCCAAGUUGUUAACGGAUAUGAUAUGGGAAGGUUGAGUUGCUGUUUAUUUGUUCCUAGAGAUGCUAGAAUUUUGGAGAAUUUUAUCGUUGAAAAUCUUUAAAAUGUUGCAUGAUGAGUUCCUGUAUGAUGAGAGUUUAAAUUCCUACCACAGCCAUAUAUACAUGCUUGUUAGACUACGAACCACACAUUUACUUUUUACUGCUUAUGAGCAUUGAGUGUGGUAAAGCUGUGUAGACCCUUAGGAGCUUGUCAUGUGGUUAAAUCAAGAUUCACUUGCACGUUCACUCACACAUGCUACUUCUACUCUAAAAGUACCAUCCACAUAUAUCCAUAUCCAUCUCCAGAACCACCCAAAAAUAUUCUACUCCUAAUCCGGGAGAGAAUAGCCAAAAACAUUUCUGUUUUCCCCUGUGAAAUAAAUGCUCAAGUUAUCUUGUUACUACCACUUGCUAUAUUAUCUCAUGAGAUGAGUGCUCUAAAGAAAAAAAAAGAGAAAAAAAAGAAAGAAUACGAGGAAAUAAAAAGGGGCAAGUGCCCGGAACCUCGAAAGAAAAGAAAAAGUGAGACGAGAGGUAAAAAUGGACAAGUGUCCGACAGUAGAAUUAGGGGUACAAGAUACCCACCUGAGAGAAAAAAAAGAAAAAGAAAAUAUAGAGCAUCUCAUUCUCCUCAAAAAGUUUCAAAAGAGCAAGAAAGGUAUGUAUCCCCUCAAAAGAGCAAAAGUAGAAUUAGACUUUCACCAUUGUUAUCACCGUCAUACACCAUUCAUUCGCCACACAUGCACAUCUUGAUUUGACUUAUUGACUUGUUCUUCUGGAUCCAUGGUUUGACUAUGCAAUAAAUGUCUUGUAAGUAUGUAUUAGCUGUCUUCCACCUAUGAGCUCCAGAUAUCAAAACCUUAUUAGAGUAGGGUGAGAGAGAAGGCAACACCACUAUGCCUUAUUCCACAAAUACCACAUACUUUGAGAGAAGGCAUACACCAUUACUGCCUUGGUAAGGAUCCAGAAAUACCACAAAAGAGAGACUAGAGAGAGUCAUACAAGGAAUCUCUGAGUUUUAUUUGAAAAUCUGCAAAAAAAAAACUCCAGAGCUAUAGUUGAUCAAGAACAAGAGACAUGGUGCUUGACUAGACUGUUCUAUCUUUUAACUACUCAAGAUAGAAGUGACGGUUACAAGUCCCAUGGUGAAAGGUAAAUGAGUAAGUUUUAAGUCUUAACAGUUUACUCUAACCAGAGAUGAGAUCUUGUUUAAACGCAUGUGUAUCUUUAAGUUAUGAAACCACUGCAGAAACUCUUGAGUUCAUCUUUGCUCAGGGACGAGCAAAGGUUAAGCUUGGGGGAGCUUGUUGACGGUCCUUAAUGCUCAUAUUUAACCAUCAAUUAAUCAUAGAAAAGGAUCCAAAUGCAACCAACACCUAGACUUAGGGUUUUAUCUGACAGAAUUCCACAAGUUUUGGUGUUUGUCUAUUUCUGCAGGGGGUUAUCAGGAAAUAUGGAAGAAAGGCCCACACGUCGGGUUUACAUAGAGAUAUUAACGUGCCGCGCAAUUUUCUAUCAUCUAGAAGACUCCAGAAGCCACGGGACCGAAGCGGAAGUAGAGAGGCCUCAGGGACAGGGCGCCCGCCCUAGUCCUGAGGGCGCCCGCCCACCUCUUUCCACCAAUCAAGGUGAAGUUCGAGGAUCAUGCUCCACCGACCUAAUACUUCAAGGAAAACCACACGAUCAAUGUCGGUUUGAUCCGACGGCCCAGAUUCACUUGAAGGGACUAUAAAACCAGACCCCUCCUGGCCCCUGGAGAUCAUACCUCUUCUACAGAAUCAAAGCUAGGGUUUCAAUUCUUCAUCCAAGUAGAGAGGAUCCCUCUAGUUCUUCUAGUUCUACCUCUAGUUCAUCUAGAUCUAGUUCUAGUUCAUCUAGUUCUUGUUCUAGUUCAUCUAGUUCUAGUUCUAGUUAGUUCUAGUUGUAAUCUAGAAAAUAGGGAGAGAGAAGAGGAGAGCGGAGGAGGAGCCGGAUCUGUCGGAUCUUCCUCAACAUUGUACUUUUGCAGCAUCUGGUUCGUUCUUCAUCGUUCUCCAGGUUCUUCAAUUCAUAACUCCUGAGUUCUCUAAUUAUUUUUAUUUACAUUCAAGUUAUUUAUUGGAUUCCCGCUUGCAUCAAGUGCUCUAAUCUUUGAAACAUUAGAGUAGUAAUUAAUAGAUUAGACGUGGUGUUUAGUCUUGCAAUUACCUGGAAUUGCACCCAAUCCUACGGAUUGUUGUGGUAGCCCUAGGGUAGUGACAGCCCUAACGGUCGACGUAUUCCACCAUGUUCGGAUCGGUGUUUGUAGGACCGUAGUCAGACCUUCCUAGCCCCCUUCUCAUCUCUUUCCGUGGUUAGUGCUCUGAUGUCCCGAUAUAGAUAAUCUUAAAGUAAUUCUUGAUUCUUAGAUCAACUAGAGAACUCUCAGGAAACUUCCUCUCUUCCUACCAAAAAUAAUUAUAUAGUUAUCCUUGGGCGAUCUUGAAUCUUAAUUAGUACACUCACGUUCUCUGUGGAAAAUCGAUACUCUGGAAUACUCCCGGGUGAAGGCUACAUCGGUAUCCGUGCGCUUGUGGAUUUUUCUGUUUGCGUUUAAAAUACCCAACACACCUACGCGGCCUACCACACGAUCCAGCUAGACAGGGGAUAUCCACAAGUAAUCUAGGUCUAAGCACCUCGCUUACACCUAUAAUACAACUCUAACCUAUAGCGUCCUAUAGAUUAGAAGUACUCAGAAGAGUUGUGAACCAGAACAUACAUGAUUAGUAAUUGCAUAAUGAAUUAGAAGUAGAUUACCAGAGUCAUCCCAUGAGCAAGCUUGAGCUUGAUCAUGACGAAGUAUAACCGGAGGAAGAACCGACAGGCCGGCCUCUCCUCUAAUCCUCCUUCGCUCUCCAUCUCGCUACUAUCUAGAUCUACUCUAGUUUAGAGAAGAGAGGAGAGCUCUCAUCUCUAAACCCUAGCUUUUGCUCUGUCUAUGAAUAAUGAAUAAUGAUCAAGGGGUGCCUCCUCCAGGGGCCAGGAGGUCUGGUUAUAUAGUCUCCUCAAGUGAACCUGGGCCGUCGGAUCAAACCGACAUUGAUUGAACGGUUUUUCUUGAUCCUUUAGGUCGGUGGAGAUCUCCCGAGAGAAAGAGUCCUGAUUGGGCUCCAAGUCAGGCGGGCGCCCUGCCUCUGGCCCCGUUCGGCCUCCGCUUCCUUCCCGUGGCUUCAGGAGUCUUCUAGAUGUAAGAUAAUUGCACGGCACGUUAAUAUCUCUAUGUAAUCCUGACGUGUGGGCCUUUCUUCCGUAUUUCCUGAUAACCCCCUGCAGAAAUAGACAAACACCAAAACUCUUGGAAUUCUGUCAGAUAAAACCCUAAGUCUAGAUGUUGAUUUCAUUUGGAUCCUUUUCUUUGUUUAUUUGAUAAUUAAAUUUGAUACUUAAGGACCGUCAACAAACUCCCCCAAGCUUACCUCUUGCUCAUCCCUGAGCAAGGAUAGACUCAGCAAUGGAUCAGAAGUUGUUGCAAUAUCUUAAAAAUUUGACGGUACACAUGCUUUUAAAUAAGAUCUCAUCUCUGAGUUAGAGUAAACUGUCAAGAAUUUACAUACUUUACCUUUCACCAUGGGACUUGUAACCGUCGCUUCUGUCUUGAGAAGUUAAAAGAUAGAACAGUCUAGCCAAGUGCCAUGUCUCUUAUUCUUGAUCAGCUAUAGCUCUGGAGUUUUUGCAGAUUUUCAAAUAAAACUCAGAGAUUCCUUGUAUGACUCUCUAAAUCUCUCUUUUGUGGUAUUUCUGGAUCCUUACCAAGGCAGUGAUGGUAUAUGCCUUCUCUCAAGAUAUGUGGUAUUUGUGGUAUAAGGCAUAGUGACAUUGCCUUCUCUCUCACCCUACUCUAAUAAGGCUUUAAUAUCUGGAGCUCAUAGGUGGGAGAUAAAGUAUACAUACUUACAAGACAUGUAUUGCAUAGUCAAACCAUGGAUCCAAAGAAACAAAUCAAUAAGCCAAAUCAAGAUGUGCAUGUGUGGCGAAUGAAUGGUGUAUGGUGAUGAUGGUGAUAACAAUGGUGAAAGUCUAAUUCUACUUUUGCUCUUUUGAGGGGAUACACACCUUCCUUGCUUUUUGAAACUUUAUGAGGAGAAUGAGAUGCUCUUCUUUUUCUUUCCUCGGAGGUGGGUAUCUUGUACCUCUAGUUCUACUGUCGGACACUUGUCCAUUUUUACCUCUCGUCUCACUUUUUCUUUCUUUCGAGGUUCCGGGCACUUGCCCCUUUUUAUUUCCUCAUUUAUUUUAUUUUUUUUCUUUUCUUCUCUUUUCUCUUUUUUUCAGAGCACUCAUCUCUUGAGAUAAUAUAGCAAGUGGUAGUAGCAAGAUAACUUGAGCAUUUAUUUCACAAGGGAAAACAGAAAUAUUUUUGGCUAUUCUCUCCCGGAUUAGGAGUAGAAUAUUUUUGGGUGAUUCUGGAGAUGGACAUGGAUGGAUAUAUGUGGAUGGUACUUCCGGAGUAGAAGUAGCAUAUGUGAGUGAACGUGCAAUUGAAUCUUGAUUUAACCACAUGACAAGCUCCUAAGGGUCUACACGGCUUGACCACACUCAAUGCUCAUAAGCAGUAAAUAGUAAAUGUCUGGCUCAAAGUCUAGCAAGCAUGUAUAUAUGGCUGUGGUAGGAAUUUAAACUCUCAUCAUACAGGAACUCAUCAUGCAAUAUUUUAAAGAUUUUUCAAAGAUAAAAUUCUCCAGAAUUCUAGCAUCUCUAGGAACAGAUAAACAGCAGCUCAACCUUCCCAUAUCAUAUCCGUUAACAACUUAGAUUUCAGAUCAAGUUUUCAUCCCACAAGUUUAGAUCUAGAGCAAGCUUUAAAUUAUAACAGUUAUGUCUAAACUUGAGAGAGAACUUCAAAUUUUUAAAUUAGGUAGGGCAACUAUUCAUCAUAUCUAUGCUAGAGUUUUAUUAUUAAGAUUCAGAUUAGCAUAGCCACUUUAUUUAUUUAUUAAACACACUAAGCAAAAGAUAUAUAUAUAAGCACAAAAUCUUUAUUUGGUUUUUCAUAGUUUAUGUAUUUUAAUAUUCUAACAUAAUAUAAGAUAGGUAGAAAUACUUAGCGAGCUAAAUGGGGGUGCUCUCCCCCAAGCUGAAUUUUGAUGUAAUUUCUCUUGAUGUAGCUAGCAGGUGGCAGAGGUGUAUUUGAAAGUCAGCAGCAUUCUGAUAGCGAUUAGAAUGUCCUUCGUCUGCUAGUCUUCUUGAUUCUUAAAUUCUGUGGAGCUCAAAUAGACAACAAAGCUUGUGGAACUAAUUAAGUGUUAGCAUAAAUAUCUAGCCUUCAUCAUGUUGAGCUUCCUCAAUAAAUAUUACUCCCUAUUUUUAUAUUUUUAAUUUAUAAAGCAGAAAAGAAAUAUUUAUUUUAUUUUUAUGCCACCACAGUGAAGGUACUUAUGGGUUUUAUGUCACUCGUAUACUCACAUGGGGCUUGGUAUUUUAUAACAUUUUUAUUUUCUUUUCAAGAUAGCAUGAUUAACUAAUAAUCUAUUUAAGGAAAGUAAAUAAUUAAAGGGAAAAGGGAAUGCAGAAAGGAUAAAUAUGGAUAACUACCGAUCUUACCUUUCGGCGAGGGUUCAAUGUUUUAAGUCUUCUUAACAAGACUUCUCACCGUGUUCAUUCUUCAGGUGCGUCAUUUGAUUCAGGUGCGGACCUUGACGUCUGCACCUCUUCGUUUGCCCAGCAGUUCGAAGUGCGGCGUUGGCAGUAUCCUGCUCAGUGUGUUUGUGCUCGUAGAUCCAGGUCCUUCACUUGGUAGAGUCUGAGAGUUAUAAAACUCCUCCGUGUUUUGCUCGAAGUGUACCUGCUCAUAGAGACAAGGCAGAGAUCAAGUGCAUGAGUCCUGUUGGUGGAAAACACCAACAGAACCUAAAGUGUAUUUGUUCUUCUCUAACCCUAAGCAUAGUGAGCAAGACAAAGUUGAUGCAUGAAAAGUUCAUGAGUGUAGCACUUAUAACAUUUGUCAGAUCAGAUCGCUCAACCUUAUGGAAAGAUAAUCUAUCUAUGUAUAUGUCUUUUUCUUUAUAUCUCUCAAUGAUUGAAUGUGUAACAUUUUAGCUCAUAUGAUUAGGAGUGUGGGAUCAUGGAGGUAGUACUAAGAACAAGGAUUAAAGGACUAAACAUGUUGAAUCAGUUGGGUUGGUUAAUCUAGAGUUGUAAAAUCAUACAUGUUUGUCUCUUUUAUUUAUAUGAACGCUAGAACCAAGGAGAAGCUUAUAAAAGUGAUAGUCAAGUACCUUAAGAUGUUACCUUGCUUGAAGAGUGAUUGUACAGUAUCACCUUGUGGAAGCUUUCCUUUCUUAGCGGUUGUGCAUCGUGUUUGUGGCACCCUCCAUGGAUCAUCUCUCUAUGAUGAAUGAGCUAAUGUCUUCUUGGUGCAAUUGUUAAACUUCAUGUGUCACUCUCUUCGUCUCUGAUGUGAGUUUAUCUCAGGACUUCCCAAAUCGAUAUGAAAAGUUUUUCUGCAGGGGUUAGUCCGACAAAAAUAUACCAAUGUCUACACAAGCAGUUUUUAGUUCAAUAACCGAACUUAGACUCCAUGUCUAAUCAGAUUAAGGAAGGCUGUUUAACCUAAGGAUCAUGCUUAAUUUAAAAGCCAAUAGAAGUAUGUGCAGUACUUCCAAACUAACACUUACUAGUAAAUAGACAAAGGUAACAUGACAGCAUUUAUAGAGAUCUACUUAAGUGGAGAUGAAGUAGUGUGAUUAGUAUUUAACAAAUUGAGCAUGUCUUAAAGGUAGGGACAACCAACAUAGCAACAUGGCAAAGGAUGUUUUUAUGUAAAGUACUCCCCCAAGCUUGAAUUUUGCAGAAUUCAAGUCUGGAUGAAUUUAAUUCAGUGUUGCGUGAUGAUUGGUUGGACAUACCUUGUACUUGCUUGUCAUUCAUCUGAUCUUCUUGUUCCAAUCCUGGAAAGGUUAGUGACAAGAAUACCCGAAGGAAUAUUUUUACAAUUAUCCUUAUAUGCUCAAUACACAAGGUAAUGUUGCAAAUAAUUAAAAACUCAUGUUAUGAUUUGAUCAGUGCUUAUUUUAGGACACCAAGCUUGUCCUUGGGAAACCAUCAAUUUAUGUCGGCGAAGUGGUUUCCCUUCCAAUGCUGACCUAAAUCAAGAUCAACUCAACAAGAUCUGCAAUAUUUAUUAUAGACAUGUGAAUCGACAACUGCCCUUUUAAAGUUUUUAUAAAUAGAAAGGAAGAGGGGGUUGGAGAUCUCAAAUGUGGUGAUGUUGGAGAGACCAAUAGAUUGGGAAGAUGUUGCAUAUGAGCAUAGAGUAAACAAAGUGGCUAUGAAAUAAAUUCCAUGCUCAUUAAUGUUAUCUUCGUCUCCAAUCUGAAUAUUUGGAGUUUCUCCUGGAUUGGUCUCACUUAUGUCCUCUUCUAUAGUUGGAUGAAUCCCAUCUUCAAAGGGAGUCAAGAACUCACCAUUAUAAAUUGAACCAAAGUCAGAAUUCAUUAAGGCUUCUUCCUCAUCCAUCCAUUCUACACAUUCUAGCCAUUUAGAACUUGUGAUCAGGAAAGGGGAGGUGUUAGAAUUUUCAAUAUGGCUUAGCUCUCCUUCACUUGAUAUGUCAUCCUCGACUUCUUCAUAACAGGAACCACGACAUUCUCUAAGAGAACCAUUAUUGCGAGGAUUUGAAUUAUCCCUGCUUGAAGGUCUUUUAUGGAACCAGAAGUCUAAACCAUCAGCAUCUGAAAGAUUUAAGGUCGGAAUUCCUUCCUCCCUUGGAGAAUUUUGGGGUAUUGAUGGUUUAGGAUCGAUAGCUAAAGUUUGGAAUUGAAGUGAUUGUGAUCUGGCUAUCGAAACUUCUUCUUCUUGUCUAGGAACUGGUUCUGUCUCUUUCUCAGGGAUAUAAAAGUUAGGAGACUUUCCACUUAAUAAAUUAAUCAAAAUCCAAGCUUCACUAGUCGGUAGGUGAUAGAAGGAUCCUCUAGAGGCUGUAUUCAAGGUUUGCUUAUUUUCCCCACUAAGGCCCUCAAAAAAGUGAAUUAGAAGAACUUCUUCUGGAAUAGAAAGCUUUGGGCCAGUGAGAGUAAGGUUAAUAAAGCGGUCCCAUGAUUUCCUAAGAGAUUCUUCUUCCAGUUGUCUAAAAUAAAUAAUCUCACGCCGAAGUUCCGCCACUUUGGAGAUUGGAAAAUAUUUAGAAAGAAAACUACUAUAUAACUCCUUCCAAUCUCCAUGAACACUCCCUAUUUUGAGUUUGUACCAAUGUCUAGCUUUUCCCGUUAAAGAGAACGGAAAGAGCUUCCAUUUGAAGGUUGUUGACGGUAUUUAUACCAUGUUUUCUACUAUCAUAACCGUCAACAUAAGACUCAUUUUGGGAGAAAACAACCAAACAAAGUAGUAAUAUAGGUACAUAUAACCUAGUUCCACAUGUACAUGCUACUAUUUGGUUGCAGGAGUAAGAACAGGUACUUUUCAAGGGUCCAAACACUAAGAAGGGGUGAAUAACUAAAGAUCAGUGACACCAGUAACCAAGACAACAUUAUAGUCAUGAAGAGGAAGACAUGUAGGACAGGGCUGACACCCUAACCCCAUAGAAUUGGGGUCGGGCGACCCCACUUUGGUGGGUCCCACAGGUCAGCUCAACUCCACCGACAUCAGAGAGCGUCCAGGACACUGCAGGUGGGCCCAACCAGCCAGAUAGGGGGUCGGCCGACCCCACUUCAUGGCGGUUCCAGGGUCGGUUGGCCUCCCACCGACCUUGCCCACAUGUUGCACAUGUUAGUUUGCCUCUACCGUUGAUCAGAUGGCGGUUGUGAAGUCGGUUUGAUCCAAUGGUGCAUGAUGAAGAUGACGCGGAUCGCUGACGUGGCACCGGAGUAGCCCCUACUCCAUCUCCCACUAUAAAUACCCCCCUAUUCCUUCACUUAAGAGUCAUGUAUCUUAGGAGUAAACUACUUUAGUAGCUUAGUGCUAUCAUAGUGAGUAGAGAGUGAGGAGUUCCAAGGAGGAGUCCUGGCCUGUCGGGAGUCUUCUUCGCGGAGCACCUCAGCGGAAGCAGGUCUUCUUGUAAGUCUUACUUCUGAGUCUUUUCUAGUAUUUAAUAUUUGGUCUGGUACUUUAAGUAUAAGAAUCCUUUACUGGCACAUUGCUUGAUCUUGAGUGCUCUUAGCUUUAGCUAAGCUUAGGGUAGCAAGAGCUAGUUUAGACGUGGUGUCUAGACUACUUCUUGCCAGUGUGGACUCCUUGUCGCAGUUGUGUAGACACCUAGUGUGAGAGUGACAGUCCUCGCUAGGCGGAAAGCUCCUCGCAUCUGUUGUAGGCAAGUUGCAAAUAAUAGUUGGGCUGAGCAGGGUAGUCGCUUAGGAGACGGGGAGGUGAAAAACCUCAUUAACUCAAUCCUCCUUUUCGGGUAUCGCCCUCAGUAAAGAGUUAGGUGAAAAACAUUGACUAUACUUAAUUACCAAGACCAGGCAUUAAUACUAGUUAGACCUCUCUACCCCAUUAUCCUAGACCCUUUGAUCAUCACCUAACGAUCUAAAGCCUAGUUAAUUCACUUCGCGUUCCCCGUGGAAAUCACGAUACCUGGAAUACUCCCGGUGAAGGCUACAUUGACUACCGUACGCUUGCGGUAUAACCGUUUGCCACUUCUGGUGUCAACAAGCUUUCUGGCGCCGUUGCCGGGGAACGGUAGCUGUUUUAACUAGGACAAAAAAAUCGUUAAGUUAUCUUUGUUUGAUUUAAAACUUUAUACACAUAUCCAAAUGGAUCAAACAACCCUCUUCGAUUACGCUGCUCCAACGGGCGCUGAGUUGGAGCCAGCGAGUUCAUCAAAAGCCAUUUUGGCCUGUCACUAUGAGCUUCGCCCGAGUCUCGUAGCGAUGGUUCAGGAGAAUCCCUUUUCGGGAGAAGGAGAUGAAAAUCCUUACACACACCUACGAGAUUUCGAACAACUUUGUUCAUGCAUCCACAUCCAAGGGAUGAGGCGAGUUACCCUCAAGUGGAAGCUCUUUCCGUUCUCUUUGACAGGAAAGGCCAGACGGUGGUACACUCGCUAUGCAGGUAGUGUAGGAGGAGAAUGGGAAAAGCUACAAGCCAAAUUCUGCCUCACCUACUUUCCCAUCUCUAGAAUAGCUCGUCUCCGUAGAGAAGUCCUAGACUUCAAGCAAGAAGGGAAGGAGUCUCUAGGUGCGGCCUGGGCGCGUCCCACCGACUUAACAUCAUCUGGCCCAGACUUAGGUAUAACCGAGCCAAUUCUUAUGCAACAUUUUUACAUCGGACUUAGCCAACAAUUCGCACAAUUCCUUGAUUUAGCCUCCAAGGGAGCAUUCCUUCAUUUACCUAUCAGUGAAGGUAAGGCCAUUCUUGGGACUAUUCUCGAGAAUACCCCUUACACUGAUGAUCAUAUUGAAGCUCCUGAGGAAGAUCGAACUCCUAGGGAUGAACCUUCGACAGCCAAAACUCCUUUAGCCGCAACCCAAGCUGUCGAACCUGAACCAAUACCACAAGCACCUCCAAGGGAAGAAGUAAUUCAUCCCUUGGAUUACCCACUUAACAUCGAGACUGAUCUAUUUGCCGAUUUUGGCAAUGUCUCGAAUCAACCUGUGCAAAGGAGAUCUACAGCACGCAAAGCUCCGAAUAGCCAUAUCCCAGCUCAUCUUGAGGCUGGUUACCUCAGGGCAACUGCCCAAGAACUCACGGCUAUUAUGAGUAAUGAAUGGGUUAGAGAAGCUGAGACAUCAUCUGAUGUCAUCAAACUUCUUUCGAGUUUUACACCCAUUCCCUGUGUCAUAAACUCCACUCCUAUAGAAUCCCUUUAUGACCCUGCUGUAGGAGUAAGCCUAAUGUCCAAAUCAUUAGUACUGACACUCCUAGGCGAGGAACCAUUAACCCCGACCAGCAAAUUUCUUAAAUUACCCUCUGGGGAAAUGGUCGAGAGUUGUGGGAUUGCGCAGAAUAUUCCUGUCUCCAUUAACAAAGUCAACAUUCUGCUAAACUUCUUUAUCUUUGAUAUGAAAGAAGUUGACUUGUUAAUCGGGCACCCCAUCAUGAGGUUCCUAAAUGGAUUUCAUGAAGGGCGUUUCAAGGGUAACCUCGGGAAGGGCUUAGACCUUUCUAUGCCUUUUGCCGGCUCUAUUAAUUCUAAAGCCGAGACCCCGCCUGAGCCUGACCCAAUAGAGGAGGUGAUAUCGGCAUCUCUUCUGGACACUUCUCAGCCUGACUUAGAAGAAGACGCCGAAAACUUCAUCCAAGAAGAAGAGAACAAAUUAGAAGAACCAUUAGACUUGGAUGAAUCUAAACCACCACCAAAGCCCUCUAUAGAACUUAAGCCACUUCCCUCUGGACUUAAGUACGCCUUCCUUAAUGGUGAUAGAGAGACUCCGGUAAUCAUUAGUGAUCAACUGACAGAGGAAGAAGUCACCAAACUCAUCACCGUCUUAGAAGAACGCCGCUCUGUCUUAGGAUACUCGUUAGAAGACCUUAAGGGAAUUAGUCCUGCACUCUGCACUCAUCGCAUCCCUAUUGAACCCGAUGCUAUACCUUCCAGGGAGCCUCAGAGAUGGCUAAAUAAUGCGAUGAGAGAAGUUGUGAAGAAAGAGGUCUUAAAACUAUUGCAUGCGGGCAUAAUCUACCCUGUUCCGAACAGUGAGUGGGUCAGCCCCGUUCAAGUAGUUCCUAAGAAAGGAGGAAUGACGGUCGUUAAAAAUGACAACAAUGAACUCAUUCCUCAACGGACCGUCACGGGAUGGAGAAUGUGCAUAGACUACCGAAAACUUAACAAGGCCACUAAGAAAGACCACUUUCCGUUGCCAUUCAUCGAUGAGAUGCUGGAACGGUUAGCCAAACACUCUUUCUUCUGCUUCCUUGAUGGGUAUUCGGGUUACCAUCAAAUCCCAAUCCAUCCCGACGACCAAAGUAAGACUACAUUCACAUGCCCCUACGGAACAUAUGCAUAUAGGCGCAUGUCUUUUGGCCUAUGCAAUGCUCCUGCCUCUUUUCAAAGGUGCAUGAUGUCCAUCUUCUCCGAUAUGAUCGAGGAAAUCAUGGAAGUUUUCAUGGACGACUUCUCCGUCUAUGGGAAAACUUUUGAUGAUUGCCUAAAGAACCUGGACCGAGUCUUACAAAGGUGCCAAGAGAAGCACUUGAUCUUGAACUGGGAAAAGUGCCAUUUUAUGGUUCGAGAAGGGAUAGUGUUAGGACAUAGAGUGUCCGAACGUGGGAUAGAGGUAGAUAGAGCUAAAAUUGAAGUUAUAGAACAGCUCCCUCCUCCCACAAAUGUUAGGGGCGUCCGUAGCUUUCUUGGCCAUGCAGGCUUUUAUAGAAGGUUCAUACAAGAUUUCUCUCAAAUUGCUAGACCUUUAACAAACCUGUUAGCUAAGGAUGCACCCUUUGAUUUUAAUGAUGAGUGCUUGGAUUCCUUUUACUAUCUUAAGAAAGCACUUAUCUCUGCACCAAUCAUUCAACCCCCUGAUUGGUCGCUACCUUUUGAGAUAAUGUGUGAUGCUAGUGAUUACGCUGUAGGUGCUGUCUUAGGACAGACUAAAGAUAAGAAGCAUCAUGCAAUAUCUUAUGCUAGCAAAACACUAACAGGACCACAGCUGAAUUAUGCAACAACUGAAAAAGAACUGUUGGCUGUAGUGUUUGCUAUAGACAAGUUUAGAUCUUAUUUAGUUGGAGCAAAGGUGAUUGUUUACUCUGAUCACGCAGCUCUAAAAUACUUGCUCACUAAAAAAGAUGCUAAACCAAGAUUAAUAAGAUGGAUCCUACUACUCCAAGAAUUUGACUUAGAAAUUAGAGAUAAAAAGGGAGUAGAAAACUCGGUAGCCGAUCACUUGUCUAGGAUGCAAAUCGAGGAUAAACAGGAUCCACCUAUCAACGACUACCUUCGAGACGACACACUCCUCCGAGUUUCAGAAGCCUACCCAUGGUAUGCAAACAUAGUCAACUACCUGGCGUCCGGAUACAUACCACCUGGGGUAGACAAGAAGAAGCUUGUUAAAGAGAGUAGGGUGCACCUAUGGGACGAUCCUUACCUCUACAGAGUCUGUCAAGAUGGCAUACUCAGGAGAUGUGUUCCCAUGGACGAGGCAGUAAAAAUAAUGGAAAAAUGCCAUGGGGCAGAGUACGGAGGCCACUAUGGAGCAUUCAGGACCCAUGCCAAGAUAUGGCAGAGUGGAUUCUACUGGCCUACCAUGUACGAAGAUACAAAGAACUUCGUGAGGAGAUGUGCAAGGUGUCAGAAGCAUGGGAUCAUCAAUACUCGUGAUGCAAUGCCACUCACAAACAACUUACAAGUCGAGAUAUUCGAUGCUUGGGGCAUAGACUACAUGGGGCCAUUCCCUUUGUCACAAGGGUGUGAGUACAUCCUAGUGGCAGUAGACUAUGUGUCCAAGUGGGUCGAAGCAAUGCCCUGCAGAGCAGCCGACUCUACACAUUCGAUAAAGAUGUUCAAGGAAGUCAUAUUUCCACGCUUCGGCACCCCCAGACUAGUUAUCAGUGAUGGAGGGAGCCACUUCAUUGACAGAAGAUUCCGACGGUUCUUAGCUGAAGUGGGGAUAAGGCACAACAUUGGAACACCCUAUCACCCUCAAACGAGCGGACAAGCAGAAACAUCUAACAAACAAAUCAAGAACAUUCUGCAGAAGACUGUCACUAAGAUGGGAACCGGCUGGAAAAGCCAUCUACCAGAUGCACUUUGGGCAUACAGGACCGCAUACAAGACCCCAAUUGGUAUGACACCAUACCAACUUGUAUACGGUAAGACAUGCCAUCUACCGGUAGAGCUAGAGCAUAGAGCUCACUGGGCAAUCAAGAAAUGGAACAUGGAUUUGCCCUCGGCCGGAAGAAAUAGAAAGCUCCAAAUCUCCGAACUAGAAGAAUGGAGAGAUAAAGCCUAUCACAAUGCCAGGAUCUACAAAGAGAGAACAAAAAGAUGGCAUGAUAAAAGGAUCAAGCAAAAGGAAUUUCAUCCUGGGGAUAAGGUUCUCAUGUUCAACUCAAGGGUCAAGUUAUUUGGCCAUGGAAAGCUAAGGAGCAAAUGGGAAGGACCAUUCUUCGUUGUUGACGCCGCGACUCAUGGAGCGGUAACACUGCGGGACGACGACGGCAACAUCUUUAAGGUAAAUGGUCAUCGUCUUAAAGUUUUCCAUGAACAUGAACCUUUAGAAAAAGAAGUUGAUAUGAUAGAAUUUGAAUCUGACAUAAAGUCUUAAAAUCCACAUGUCCUUCUUUUUACCUCCUUUUGUUAAAAAAAAAAUUUUGCUAAACCAAUAUAUUUAGUUCCUUUUGUUUGGAAAUAGGUUUUAAAAGGGUUUUAGAUGAUGUAGGAUCGAAGUUGGGCCGCCGAACACCCCAAAUGGGGGUCGGCCGACCCCUCUUCUAGGGGUUUUGGCCCAAGGCGGAAUAGGUUUAGAAAGAGGGGAAUGAAUAGAGUUCGGUGGUGAAAUUCAAAAUCCUGAAAUAUAGGGGUCGCCCGACCCCCAAUAUUUUGAGUUUUGAAAUCCCCUGGAGUCUCGGAUCGUCCCUCAAACGUUCCACGACGCUCCUUUUCAAAAUUCAAACUCUCAGGCUCCAAACACAUCUAUUUAUCCCCCCUCUUCUUCUUCUUCCUCCUCUCAAUUCAUUCCUUCUCAUCUUCACCUCGAACCAGACUCUCCUAGCCUCCAUUCCUUGCCAAGAGAUCCAUCUCCAUGGCUCCUCCAACUAAAUCUUCCAACCAAGCCAUUCGCUCCAACUCCCCACGUCCGCAAAGGUCUCUAACUGAGAGCCUGGAGUUUGCCCUAGCCGUCAACGUGCUGGAGCCUGAACCACUAGCCAUGGUGCCGCCGGCUGGAGGGCCGACGGGCCCCAUGUGGGGGUCGCCCGACCCCAAGAGGGGUCGCCCGACCUCGCCCCGGGUGACCCAGCGCUCCGCGUCGGCCUCUCGUUCGCUCACACCGUGCAGGGGCAUCGGCAAGUCCCCUGCUCGAGCCGUAACGCCGGUUCGACCUACCACGGGCCAACUUGCGCUACGGGAGAAGGCGCCGAUGGCCACCAAGCAGGCCAUCACCAUCUCAUCCGACACGAUCCACACCUCUUCCUACUCGCCGUCCACCCCAACCUUUUGGAGGAACCACCAAGUGGUGGGCGGUGGGCCGGGAAAGGGGAAGGUGCUGAUCCCGCCGUUGAACUCUAAGGAAAAGAUGGAGUUGCGAGAGUCCUUUGACUCGUCAGCAAGUCCAUCCAUCCGGCGGAAGAUGGAUCCACCUCCGAUCAACGGUGCGCCUGGCAAAUACGAAGAAGAUCCAGAAAAAGGCGACAUCGAGAAGCUCCUGGAAGUCACAGCUAGCCUUAGAAAGAAAAAUAGGAUCUUAGAGGAGACAGUGUCGGAGCUCAGGAUGGAGAAUCUUGAGUUAGAAGAUCACUUCCGCCACCUGCGCAUUAGCACCAGCGCUAAAAUCAAGCGUUUGGCACAAGCAAUUGGGCGGGAGGAUCUCCUCAAACCUCCAUCUCCCUAAAUAAAUUAGUUAGUUUAGGUUAUAGGCACUAUUUGAUUAUUUAGGUUUGAUUACUCAAUUUUAUUUUCCAAUUUGUCACUUUGAAUUUCACAAUGUAAAAGUGCCUAUACAAUUGAAAUUUGAUUUAAUAGAGUUGUUUUUGGUCCUGCUGGUGUGUUGCCACCAGCAGGACGUCUGCAUUUGAUCAUCUCUCUCUGUUGUAAGUUCAGCUGCACGAAAACCGCAAGUGUGGGGGGGUCGCCCGACCCCCCAACUUCAUCUCUGAACUGCCGUGAGCAUGGAACAACACUGCAUACACCUCGGCACGUCAUGGCACCAAAAACAGGCGCGAUGAGGGGGUCGCCCGACCCCCUUUCUAUGGCAAAAGGAAACGACACAAGUGCAGAAAGACUUCCCGAGGGACGUAGAAUCGAGUGGCAGGGCCAGGAACCUCCAGGUGGGGUCGGCCGACCCUUCCAUGGAGCCCUGGGCCCACCAGGAAGCUUCUAUACGACGAAACACAUCUUUCCUGCCCGGUUUGCUAACUCUUCCCCCUCUCAGUCUGUCCAAUUCUUUACCAUUGUGUCACAAUUAAAAUAAAAUUUGAUAGUUUAAACUUGUUUGCAAAAUAAAAAGUGAACUGGUUCAUGAUUUAAGAGAAAUUGUGACAUAAAGUAUAGUUCUUACAAUUGUUCAUCCUCAUGGGUAAAAAUCUAUAGGAACCAUAUUGACUAAGUUGUUGAUGAAAGUGAUAUAACUCUUGGCUAAGAAUUCAUAACACUUCUAUUCAAGGUACUUAGAGAUUUGUUUCAAAAAUAUCACAAAACCAUAGUAUCAUUUACUCCUCAUUAGCAAGAAAUUCCCACCAAAAGCCAUACACUUAGAUAUUCAAGUAACCAUUUUAUGAAAUGCAACCUGCUUUUGUAAUGAGUUUUGUCAAAACCUUGUUGACCCUAGUGAGAGUUGUAUCAUAGUCACAAGAUCAAGAUCACGUACACACCACAUAUAUAUAUGCUGCUUCUACACUGGAAGUACACAACCACAUGUAUUGUGCAUCCACUAAAUAGGUUGCUCCAUACUCUAAGUGUUAGAACACCUCUCUAAAUAUUGUUUAGAAAAUGAGACAUAAAAGGCUUGGCAAAAUAAAAGAAAAAGAAAAAAUGGACAUGUGCAAGUCCAUGAAGUAUUUAAAAAAAAAAAUUUGAGCACAUAAAGCUCGAAGAAAAAGAAAAUCUAGCCAUGUCUCAAUAUACAAGUAGAGAGAGUGUAGCAAAUAAAGGAGCAACCUAGUCCACCAUAUAACACACUUGCACAUAUUGAUCUAUGACUAUGACACUCCUCUCUUUGGAUCCUUGUUUUUGACUUAACCAUAUUUGCAAAGUAGAGUAUGCUACCUUGUUUAUCCCUACCAAGCCCCAUAUAAGCCUAUAGUUAUAGGAUGAAACAAGUUGGCAUUCAUGCCUUGGCGAGGACUACUAAAAAAAAAACUUUGAGUGAUCUAGAGCGCUAAAUGAGGAGUAGGAUUGAACUAUGUGACUUAUUUUAAAAAGUGUCAUAAAAACUCUAAGUACCAAGAAUAUGAAAUUGGAAUUUGAUCUUGUUCUGAGAGUUGUUCCUUUUCUCAACCUCUGAAGGAUAUAUGCUAGACACUUACACAAAAACCCAUUUGGAUGAACUAUGUUCGAACUAGCAUUUUAUGCUCACUACUAUCUUAAGUUAGAAACCAUUGAUCACUCAUUUUUAACCUUUACUCGAGGACGAGCAAAGACUCAAGUGUGGGGGGUCUUGUUGACGGUAUUUAUACCAUGUUUUCUACUAUCAUAACCGUCAACAUAAGACUCAUUUUGGGAGAAAACAACCAAACAAAGUAGUAAUAUAGGUACAUAUAACCUAGUUCCACAUGUACAUGCUACUAUUUGGUUGCAGGAGUAAGAACAGGUACUUUUCAAGGGUCCAAACACUAAGAAGGGGUGAAUAACUAAAGAUCAGUGACACCAGUAACCAAGACAACAUUAUAGUCAUGAAGAGGAAGACAUGUAGGACAGGGCUGACACCCUAACCCCAUAGAAUUGGGGUCGGGCGACCCCACUUUGGUGGGUCCCACAGGUCAGCUCAACUCCACCGACAUCAGAGAGCCUCCAGGACACUGCAGGUGGGCCCAACCAGCCAGAUAGGGGGUCGGCCGACCCCACUUCAUGGCGGUUCCAGGGUCGGUUGGCCUCCCACCGACCUUGCCCACUGUUGCACAUGUUAGUUUGCCUCUACCGUUGAUCAGAUGGCGGUUGUGAAGUCGGUUUGAUCCAAUGGUGCAUGAUGAAGAUGACGCGGAUCGCUGACGUGGCACCGGAGUAGCCCCUACUCCAUCUCCCACUAUAAAUACCCCCCUAUUCCUUCACUUAAGAGUCAUGUAUCUUAGGAGUAAACUACUUUAGUAGCUUAGUGCUAUCAUAGUGAGUAGAGAGUGAGGAGUUCCAAGGAGGAGUCCCGGCCUGUCGGGAGUCUUCUUCGCGGAGCACCUCAGCGGAAGCAGGUCUUCUUGUAAGUCUUACUUCUGAGUCUUUUCUAGUAUUUAAUAUUUGGUCUGGUACUUUAAGUAUAAGAAUCCUUUACUGGCACAUUGCUUGAUCUUGAGUGCUCUUAGCUUUAGCUAAGCUUAGGGUAGCAAGAGCUAGUUUAGACGUGGUGUCUAGACUACUUCUUGCCAGUGUGGACUCCUUGUCGCAGUUGUGUAGACACCUAGUGUGAGAGUGACAGUCCUCGCUAGGCGGAAAGCUCCUCGCAUCUGUUGUAGGCAAGUUGCAAAUAAUAGUUGGGCUGAGUAGGGUAGUCGCUUAGGAGACGGGGAGGUGAAAAACCUCGUUAACUCAAUCCUCCUUUUCGGGUAUCGCCCUCAGUAAAGAGUUAGGUGAAAAACCUUGACUAUACUUAAUUACCAAGACCAGGCAUUAAUACUAGUUAGACCUCUCUACCCCAUUAUCCUAGACCCUUUGAUCAUCACCUAACGAUCUAAAGCCUAGUUAAUUCACUUCGCGUUCCCCGUGGAAAUCACGAUACCUGGAAUACUCCCGGUGAAGGCUACAUUGACUACCGUACGCUUGCGGUAUAACCGUUUGCCACUUCUGGUGUCAACAAAGGUCUCAUCAGACAUUCCUUCUAUGCGAAGGAGGUCACAGACUCGAUAAAACCCUCUUAGGUGUGUGUAUGGGUUUUCCUCACCUUCUCCUGAGAAAGGUUGUUUUUGAACAAAUUCUAUGUAUUCGGGGUCUAUCUCAAAACUAGAUGCUAUGAUAGGCUUUGAAGAUUUUGGUGGUUCGAGAUGUGUGCCCGUAGGUCUAUGAAAUUCAUAGAGAGACAUGUUUGAAUUCAUGACAGACUAGAGAUCAAGGAUUAAAUAAGAAGAAAGAAUAGCAGAGAUGAGGCAAAGGAUAAAAGGAAAUAUAUAUAUAUAUUUUUUAUUUUUUUUUUAGAAAAUGAUUAAGCUAGUUCGUAGUCAACUAAGCAACCGUUGAAGAUUUUACCCGGUUAAAGGUUUUAUCGUAUCCACAGGGAGACGGGUGAACUGAUCUACGCUCUAACUUAACCAAGAUAAGUAAAUAGGUGUAAAUAGGAAAGAUGGUAGAAUCGAAUAAGAACAAUAUUAAAGGUAAGAUAACAGUGAGUGAGAAUAUGGGAAUAGAGAAUAGAGCAAUUCUAGUAUAUCGGCAAUGGUAGCAGAAUAGAGAGGAUAACUAUGGUUUCUCUACUUCAAAGGGGUAUGUCUAUGUCUGGGGCGAACCACAUGAUAAGAUUACACCACAAAGGAUGCUUAUCCAUAGGCCGAUAAAGCCUACCCGUCCUGCUAACGAGAGGUGGACUACAGAGAACCAACGUAACUAUCACCUACGCGGCCUACCACACGAUCCAGCUAGACACGGGAUAUCCACAAGUAAUCUAGGUCUAAGCACCUCGCUUACACCUAUACUACAACUCUAACCUAUAGCGUCCUAUAGAUUAGAAGUACUCAAAAGAGUUGUGAACCAGAACAUACAUGAUUAGUAAUUGCAUAAUGAAUUAGAAGUAGAUUACCAGAGUCAUCCCAUGAGCAAGCUUGAUUAGAGCUUGAUUAUGACGAAGUAUAACCGGAGGAAGAACCGACAGGCCGUCCUCUCCUCUAAUCCUCCUUCUCUCUCCAUCUCGCUACUAUCUAGAUCUACUCUAGUUUAGAGAAGAGAGGAGAGCUCUCAUCUCUAAACCCUAGCUUUUGCUCUGUCUAUGAAUAAUGAUCAAGGGGUGCCUCCUCCAGGGGCCAGGGGGUCUGGUUAUAUAGUCCCCUCAAGUGAACCUGGGCCGUCGGAUCAAACCAACAUUGAUUGAACAGUUAUUCUUAAUCCUUUAGGUCGGUGGAGACCUCCCGAGAGAAAGAGUACUGAUUGGGCUCCAAGUCAGGGCGGGCGCCCAGGGCAGGAGGGCGGGCGCCCUGCCUCUGGCCCCGUUCGGCCUCCGCUUCCUUCCCGUGGCUUCUAGAGUCUUCUAGAUGUAAGAUAAUUGCACGGCACAUUAAUAUCUCUAUGUAAUCCCAACGUGUGGGCCUUUCUUCCGUAUUUCCUGAUAACCCCCUGCAGAAAUAGACAAACACCAAAACUCGUGGAAUUCUGUCACAUAAAACCCUAAGUCUAGAUGUUGAUUUCAUUUGGAUCCUUUUCUUUGUUUAUUUGAUAAUUAAAUUUGAUACUUAAGGACCGUCAACAAUAUCCACAAGUAAUCUAGGUCUAAGCACCUCGCUUACACCUAUACUACAACUCUCACCUAUAGCGUCCUAUAGAUUAGAAGUACUCAAAAGAGUUGUGAACCAGAACAUACAUGAUUAGUAAUUGCAUAAUAAAUUAGAAGUAUAUUACCAGAGUCAUCCCAUGAGCAAGCUUGAUUAGAGCUUGAUCAUGACGAAGUACAACCGGAGGAAGAACCGACAGGUCGGCCUCUCCUCCAAUCCUCCCUCGCUCUCCAUCUCGCUACUAUCUAGAUCUACUCUAGUUUAGAGAAGGGAGGAGAGCUCUCAUCUCUAAACCCUAGCUUUUGCUCUGUCUAUGAAUAAUGAAUAAUGAUCAAGGGGGUGCCUCGUCCAGGGGCCAGGGGGUCUGCUUAUAUAGUCCCCUCAAGUGAACCUGGGCCGUCGGAUCAAACCGACAUUGAUUGGACGGUUAUUCUUGAUCCUUUAGGUCGGUGGAGCAUAAUCCGCGAGAUUGAGCGUGAUUGGCCGAAAUAGGUGGGCGGGCGCCCUGUCCCUGAGCCCUCUCGGCUUCCGCUUUGUUCCCGUGGCUUCUGGAAUCUUCUAGAUGAUAGAAAAUUGCGUGGCACGUUAAUAUCUCUAUGUAAACCCGACCUGUGGGCCUUUCUUCCGUAUUUCCUGAUAACCCCCAGCAGAAAUAGACAAACACCAAAACUCGUGGAAUUCUGUCAGAUAAAACCCUAAGUCUGGGUGUUGGUUGCAUUUGGAUCCUUUUCUUUAUUUAUUUGUUGAUUAUAUUUGGUACUUAAGGACCGUCAACACCGACACCAGCCCAAGUCAUCGAUGGACCGAUUACACGUAGUCGUGCAAAGAAGCUACAACAAGAGGUCCACGCGCUACUUUGUGAGAUUCAUUUUAAUAUUAAUGAGACUUAUAUACUACCUAAGUGUUGUACCUUGAUUGUACUCAGGUAUAUAGAAGAAGAGAAGGAUGAAUCGGACCCUGAAGAACGGACCAGUGCAAGUUCCAGAAGAAGUAAAAAACGGACCAGUGGAAGUAAAAAAUGGAGCACUGCAAAGAAAUCUUCAUAACUUUUUACUCACAAAAGCUAUGAAUGUCCAUGAGUACUUGUUGGAAAGCUUGACGAGUCUACUUUCCAAUGAAUCUAGUGGCGAAUAGUUUCGGUACACCAUAAUGCCUGCAAACCAGAAUUAGUACAGACUGCUUAGAAGGUCAACAGUCUGUCGUGACAGAAUGUUGGUACAAUUUGCCAAGCAAAACUGUACCAAUCUACAAUGUUUCAUGCUGGUUGGCAUACAUUGCUGGAAAGCUCUUUGAGUCUAGUUUCACACCCAAGAAACGGUUCAUCAUUUGGACUUCCCAAAAAGUUAUGGUCAGUUUAUUAGAAACUGCUCUGGAGGCCAAUGAAAGGUCCUUGUUUGGUUUUGGUAAUUGAGUGACAACUUAGGUGGACUAAUAGUAUUUAUGUCAGAUAUACAGGAGAUUAGUCCACAGAUGGAUAUGUGAUGAUAAAGGAACUCAUUGCAUAUGAGACAUGACAUGGAGUCAUGUGACCAAGGUGGAGAAGAUCAAGAUGAGGCUUGGCUCGAUGGACUAGUUGCAAGUGUGAAGGGCAAGUCAGAGGCUUUGAAGCGAGGGACCGCAUGUGACGGUGAAGCUUGUGCAAGACUUGGCACCAAUGGACCAAGGCAAUGGUGAAGAGCAAGUGAGGUCAAGAUUGAUGAACCAAUACGGUCAUGUGAUGAUAUGAAGUGGAUCAUAUCAUUUGUGACUGGUUGGUGCAUGUGUUGCAUCAACAUUGAAGGAGAUGGAAUGAAAUACGCAAGGCAAAGGUAUAACCUAUAGGGCAUUUCAUUUCACCGGUCUAAAUUGAGUAGAGAAGUGCUUGACCGGAUUUGGGAUAGAUAACCGUACUUUAAAGAGGGGAAAUCUUUAAUUGCAAUGGUUAUCUAGUGCCACUAAGUGUGAGUCUCUUUUGCAUAUAAAUAGCGCUUAGUGACGUGGUGAGAAUACUUGAGAAAGCCCUAAAAAUUAUUUGUGAAAUGCUAACUUAAGUGCUCAAUUGUUUUUGGUACUUUGUGGGAAAGUUAGCACCUUAAAAAAAGGGGUUUUGAGUUGGAAAACCGAGCUAGUAGUCAUGCCCAAAUAGCAAGUGGUCGAUCGGAAUUAUUCACUGCCCUACCUAGAUAUUCUAGUGUUUGUGCUUGCAACAGAGAGGGGUCGAUCGGAAUUAUUUCCUACCCGCACUGGAAUUUUUCCGAUUGAGCUCAGAUCUAACCCACGCCAACGGUCAAAAGUGUGUUCGCCUGGUAUUAUUUCCUACCCGCACUGGAAUUUCCUGCGAGGCUGAAUCUGACCGUUGGGAGCGCGAGCUGAGGUAUUUGGGGCUGCUGUUGCCCUCUUCCUCCUCACUUCUCUCCCCAUUUUCUCACUUUAGGAGAGCAAGCAAGUUAGGGUUCUUCCUCUCCUCUCUCUCUCUCCCAUGGAUUUGAGCUGAAAUUUCUUAGAAAUAUUGAGAGCCCUUUGUGGGUGUGGAUGAGAGGUUGAAGAUCCACCUUUUCCCCUUCCUCUCCCUCUCAUGCUUGGUGCUAUUUUGAGUGAGGGAGUGAGAGCCUAGUGUGUGCUUUCGUGAUUUGCAUUUGGUGACACUAGGAAAUCUUUGUGAUUGGGGAUUUCUUGUUACUCUUGGUGAUUGCCAUCACCUAGACGGUUUGGUGGAUUGUGAUUCCGUUUGAAGCACGCGAGAAGACUGUGCGGUCCUCCGGAGGAGGAUUUGUGAGGGGUAAGGUGCUCACCCCGCGGGGAUCGCGAAGAGUAACUCUAGUGGAUUGCUUGUGGCUUGGAGGAUCCCCAUCUUGAGAGUGGAUGUGCGGCACCCACUGAGGGUUUGGCUUUGGAAUACCAAUUAGCUCGUGAUCCAUCAAGUGGGUGUAUCGCCACAACGAGGACGUAGCUUGGUGGCAACCAAGUGAACCUCGGUAAAAAUCACUGUGUCAACAUUGUCUACUCUUCUCGGUGGUUUGCAUUCGACUUACACAAGCUUGUAUUUACAUUCUAUAUCUUAUGCUUGUGUAGAUGCUCUUGUAACUAGUCUUGCUUGUGUUGCUUGAAAGUUACCUUCUUGCUUGUGUAGCUAGAAGUAGUUCCCUUGCGUGGCUAAUUUGGUUUGUGUAACCUUGUUAGUCACUUUGCUUAGUUUGUGUAACUAAGUAAGUUGCGCUCUCUAAUUUGGCAUUAGUUGCCUUGUUAUUGAGCUUGCUAGUGAGCUUAGGAGCUUCGUGCUUUUGCUUACUAGUUGUAUAGGAGCUCCCCGGUUUGCAAAGUACUAGUGGCAUAGGUUUGUGUGACCUUGCUCCUAGAAUUGGUUAGAUGAGCUCUUGCUAAGGAAGCACCUUGUUUUCUUGUUUAUGAUCUUUUAUAAGGUGCUAGAGAACUUAGAUAGAGGGGUGUAGUCUUGGCUAGACCGAUAGUUUUAAUUCCGCAUUUAUUUCGGUUAGCCGGUGCAAUAAGUUUUAGAAAGGACUAUUCACCCCCCCUCUAGUCCGCCAUCUCGACCCUUGUUGGGUAUUUUAAACGCAAACAGAAAAAUCCGCAAGCGCACGGAUACCGAUGUAGCCUUCACCCGGGAGUAUUCCAGAGUAUCGAUUUUCCACAGAGAACGUGAGUGUACUAAUUAAGAUCCAAGAUCGCCCAAGGAUAACUAUAUAAUUAUUUUUGGUGGGGAAGAGAGGAAGUUUCCUGAGAGUUCUCUAGUUGAUCUAAGAAUCAAGAAUUACUUCAAGAUUAUUUAUAUCGGGACAUCAGAGCACUAACCACAGAAAGAGAUGAGAAGGAGGCUAGGAAGCUCUGACUACGGUCCUACAAACACUGAUCCGAACAAGGUGGAAUACGUCGACUGUUAGGGCUGUCACAACCCUAAGGCUACCACAACAAUCCGCAGGAUUGGGUGCAAUUCCAGGUAAUUGCAAGACUAAACACCACGUCUUAUCUAUUAAUUACUACUCUAGCGUUAUAAAGACUAGAGCACUUGAUGCAAGCGGGAAUCCAAUAAAUAACUUGAAUGUAAAUAAAAGUAAUUAGAGAACUCAGGAAUUAUGAAUUGAAGAACCUGGAGAACGAUGAAGAACGAACCAGUUGCUGCAAAAGUAUAAUGUUGACGAAGAUCCGACAGAUCCGGCUCCUCCUCCGCUCUCCUCUUCUCUCUCCCUAUUUUCUUGAUUACAACUAGAACUAACUAGAACUAAAACUAGAGGAACUAGAACUAGAACUAGAUGAACUAGAACUAGAUAUAGAUGAACUAGAGGUAGAACUAGAAGAACUAGAGGGAUCCUCUCUACUUGGAUGAAGAAUUGAAACCCUAACUUUGAUUCUGUAGAAGAGGUAUGCUCUCCAGGGGCCAGGGGGCCUUGCUUAUAUAGUCUUUUCAGAUGAAUCUGGGCCGUCGGAUCAAACCGACAUUAAUCGCACGGUUUUCCUUGGUCCCUUAGGUCGGUGGAGCACGAUCCGCGAAGUUGAAGCUGAUUGGUUACUGUAGCUGGGCGGGCACCCAAGGGGGGAGGGCGGGCGCCCUGCCCUCGGGCCCGAUCGGCCUCCCGUUCGUUUCCGUGGCUUCUGGAGUCUUCUAGAUGGUAGAAAAUUGCGCGGCACGUUAAUAUCUCUACGUAAACCCGACGUGUGGGCCUUUCUUUCAUAUUUCCUGAUAACCCCCUGUAGAAAUAGACAAACACCAAAACUCAUGGAAUUCUAUCAGAUAAAACCCUAAGUCUAGGUGUUGGUUGCAUUUGGAUCCUUUUCCACAAUUAGUUGAUGGUUAAAUGUGAGCAUUAAGGACCGUCAACAAGCUCCUCCAAGCUUAACCUUUGCUCGUCCCUGAGCAAAGAUGAACUUAAGAGUUUCUGCAGUGGUUUCAUGCCUUAAAGAUAUACAUGCGUUCAAACAAGAUCUCAUCUCUAGGUUAGGGUAAACUGUUAAGAUUUAAACUUACUCAUAUUACCUUUCACCAUGGGGCUUGUAACCGUCACUUGUGUCUUGAGCAGUUAAAAGAUAGAACGGUCUAGUCAAGCGCCAUGUCUCAUGUUCUUCGAUUAACUAUAGCUCUGGAGUUUUUGCAGAUUUUCAAAUAAAACUCAGAGAUUCCUUGUAUGACUCUCUCUAGUCUCUCUUUUCUGGUAUUUCUGGAUCCUUACCAAGGCAGUAAAGGUGUAUGCCUUCUCUCAAAGUAUGUGGUAUUUUUGGUAUGAGGCAUAGUGACAUUGCCUUCUCUCUCACCAUACUCUAAUAAGGUUUUGAUAUUGGAACUCAUAGGUGGGAGACAGCAAAUACAUACUUACAAGACAUUUAUUGCAUAGUCAAACCAUGGAUCCAGAGAAACAAGUCAAUAAGUCAAAUCAAGAUGUGCAAGUGUGGCAAAUGAAUGAUGCAUUGUAAUGAUGGUGAUAACAAUGGUGAAAGUCGUUUCUUGCUCUUUUGAAACUUUUUGAGGAGAAUGAGAUGCUCUAUAUUUUCUUUUUCUUUUCUCUCAGGGGGGUAUCUUGUACCCCUAAUUCUACUGUCGGACACUUGUCCAUUUUUACCUCUCGUCUCACUUUUUCUUUUCUUUCGAGGUUCCGGGCAAUUGCCCCUUUUUAUUUCCUCGUAUUCUUUCUCUUUUUUUUCUCUCUUUUUUUAGAGCACUCAUCUCAUGAGAUAAUAUAGCAAGUGGUAGUAACAAGAUAACUUGAGCAUUUAUUUCAAGGGGAAAAACAGAAAUCUUUUUGGCUAUUCUCUCCCGGAUUAGGAGUAGAAUAUUUUUGGGUGGUUCUGGAGAUGGAAAUGGAUGGAUAUAUGUGAGUGCGUACUUCCGAAGUAGAAGUAGCAUGUAUGAGUGAACGUGCAAGUGAAUCUUGAUUUAACCACAUGACAAGCUCCUAAGGGUCUACAAAGCUUGACCACACUCAAUGCUCAUAAGCAGUAAAAAGUAAAUGUGUGGCUCAAAGUCUAGCAAGCAUGUAUAUAUGGCUGUGGUAGGAAUUUAAACUCUCAUCAUACAGGAACUCAUCAUGCAACAUUUUAAAGAUUUUCAAAGAUAAAAUUCUCUAGAAUUCUAGCAUCUCGAGGAACAGAUAAACAGCAGCUCAACCUUCCCAUAUCAUAUCCGUUAACGACUUAGACUUUGGAUCAAGUACUCUUCCCAUAAGUUCAGGUUUAGAGCAAAUCUUAAUUAAUAACAGUCAUGCCUAAACUUAAGAGAGAUUUCAAUUUUGAGAACUAGUCAUGGUAGAGCAACUAUUCAUCAUUUCCAUUUGAGAGCUUAUCAUGAGGGUUCAUAGCAAAUUUUAUUUAUUUAUUUAUUUAUUUAGCAAACUAAGCAAAGAUAUAUAUAAGCACAAAAUCUUUAUUUGGGUUUAUAUGAUUAUGCAUCUUUUUAUUAUUUGAGUAAAAUAUAAACAUGACUAGAAUACUUAGCUGGAUAAAUGGGGGUGCUCUCCCCCAAGCUGGAUUUUGACGUAAUUUCUCCUGAUGUAGCUAGCAGGUGGUGGAGAUGUAUUUGAAUGUCAGCAGCGCCCUGACAGCGACUAGGAUGUCCUCUGUAUGCUAGUCUUCUUUGAUCCUUGAAUUCUCUUGGCAAGGCAUUCGGUGUUUUUUAAGUCCUCCAAACGGGACUCUCCGUUUUCUCAGUUGUCCUAGGAUUCGCUGGAUGGCGUAGUCGGUGGUUCCGGCGGCGCCUGCUCUUCGUGUAUAACUAUCUUCUCUCUACACACCUGACUCGGUGCUAUGGUCUCCUCAGGAUAGUUCUGUUCAAGUUGUAUGUCUUCAGACCUCACUACUUCUCCUUCGUAGUCUGCCCAUCCAUCCUUGAUGAUUUGCCUCCUCUGGUUGUGGUUGCGUCAUCUUCUUCUUGUCCUGACCAGCUUAGAGUCUUCAACUAUAUAGUUAGAGUCAGUAAAAUAGCGGCGUACCUUCUCAGAGGGGAAAUGCAUGUGGGCUUCUCUGGUUCCAAUGUAGAUGAUUGCUUUAAUGGUGCUGAGGAACGGUCUCCUAAGGAUGAUGGGUGGAUCUACUCGUCUUCUCCCAUGUCAAUAACCUUCAACCUUCCGGAAUGUCUGAUCUACCAUCUGGAGCUGAAUGUAUGUCGGUUUUAGGGGUAUGGUUCCGAAUAGGAGCUGAUAAGUGACUGCGGCCAUUAUGUUGACGCCUGACCCGGUGUCGCAAAGCUUCUUCUGGAAGUUGUAUCCAUUAAUGGAGCACUAGAUGCUUGGC